RNAcentral lists this ribosomal RNA (378 nucleotides) under uncultured bacterium. Its description in RNAcentral is "bacterial SSU rRNA". It matches the Rfam family "Bacterial small subunit ribosomal RNA", at positions 28 to 415 of the family's 1533-position model. The record is from RNAcentral.
GACGAACGCUGGCGGCGUGCUUAACACAUGCAAGUCACGGGGGUCCCGCAAGGGAUAACCGGCGAACGGGUGCGUAACACGUGAACAACCUGCCCUCGUGUGGGGGAUAGCCAUGCUAACGCGUGGGUAAUACCGCAUACGUUCCCUUGGAGGCGUCUCUGGGGGAGGAAAGCUCCGGCGCACGGGGAGGGGUUCGCGGCCUAUCAGCUAGUUGGCGGGGUAAUGGCCCACCAAGGCGACGACGGGUAGCNGGUCUGAGAGGACGGCCAGCCACAUUGGGACUGAGAGACGGCCCAGACUCCUACGGGAGGCAGCAGUGGGGAAUCUUGCGCAAUGGCCGAAAGGCUGACGCAGCGACGCCGCGUGUGGGAUGACGCC